AACGCACAUUGCGCCCUUUGGUAUUCCGAGGGGCACGCCUGUUCGAGCGUCAUUUAAACCAUCAAGCCCUGCUUGGUCUUGGACGCGGUCGGGUGACCCGUCCGUAACCCGUUGGCGGUGCAGUCCGGCUUCAAGCGUAGCAAGAAUUUCGCUUCAGGAGUCCGCGGCGGCGUCUGCCAGGAAACACCACCCAAAGUUUGACCUCGGAUCAGGUGAGGAUACCCGCUGAACUUAA
RNAcentral lists this unclassified non-coding RNA (235 nucleotides) under uncultured fungus. Its description in RNAcentral is "sequence contains ITS2". Lineage: Eukaryota; Fungi. The record is from RNAcentral.